UACGAAGGGGGGCUAGCGUUGCUCGGAGUCACUGGGCGUAAAGCGCACGUAGGCGGACUCUUAAGUCGGUGGUGAAAUCCUGGAGCUCAACUCCAGAACUGCCUUUGAUACUGGCAAUCUUGAGUCCGGAAGAGGUGAGUGGAAUUCCUAGUGUAGAGGUGAAAUUCGUAGAUAUUAGGAAGAACACCAGUGGCGAAGGCGGCUCACUGGUCCGGUACUGACGCUGAGGUGCGAAAGCGUGGGGGAGCAAACAGG
RNAcentral lists this ribosomal RNA (255 nucleotides) under uncultured bacterium. RNAcentral describes it as "partial 16S ribosomal RNA". It matches the Rfam family "Bacterial small subunit ribosomal RNA", at positions 524 to 776 of the family's 1533-position model. The record is from RNAcentral.